GACGAACGCUGGCGGCGUGCUUAACACAUGCAAGUCGAACGGAAAGGCCCUGCUUGCAGGGUACUCGAGUGGCGAACGGGUGAGUAACACGUGGGUGAUCUGCCCUGCACUUCGGGAUAAGCCUGGGAAACUGGGUCUAAUACCGGAUAGGAGCCAUUUUUAGUGUGAUGGUUGGAAAGUUUUUUCGGUGUAGGAUGAGCUCGCGGCCUAUCAGCUUGUUGGGGGGGUAAUGGCCUACCAAGGCGGCGACGGGUAGCCGGCCUGGGAGGGUGGACGGCCAGCGGGGGACUGCGGGAGGCCUCAGAAGGCUGAGGGGGGCAAUGGGGGGAAAUGUGGCCCAGUGGGACCAAGCUGGAUGGGACGGCCCUCGGGUGGGAAAGACCUCUUUUGGGUUAUAAACACCUUUCGGUAGGUACCCGGCUUUUUGGGCGGGUCCCAAGGUAAGAAGCCCGGGUAAACUGCGG
RNAcentral lists this ribosomal RNA (464 nucleotides) under uncultured bacterium. RNAcentral describes it as "partial 16S ribosomal RNA". It matches the Rfam family "Bacterial small subunit ribosomal RNA", at positions 28 to 506 of the family's 1533-position model. The record is from RNAcentral.